ACAACUUUUGACAACGGAUCUCUUGGCUCUCGCAUCGAUGAAGAACGCAGCGAAAUGCGAUAAGUAAUGUGAAUUGCAGAAUUCAGUGAAUCAUCGAAUCUUUGAACGCA
This 110-nucleotide ribosomal RNA is filed under the name Porodisculus orientalis. RNAcentral's name for it is "5.8S ribosomal RNA". It matches the Rfam family "5.8S ribosomal RNA", at positions 1 to 108 of the family's 154-position model. Rfam says of the family: 5.8S ribosomal RNA (5.8S rRNA) is a component of the large subunit of the eukaryotic ribosome. It is transcribed by RNA polymerase I as part of the 45S precursor that also contains 18S and 28S rRNA. The record is from RNAcentral. Lineage: Eukaryota; Fungi; Basidiomycota; Agaricomycetes; Agaricales; Schizophyllaceae.